RNAcentral lists this ribosomal RNA (840 nucleotides) under Triticum aestivum (bread wheat). Its description in RNAcentral is "partial small subunit ribosomal RNA". The record is from RNAcentral. Lineage: Eukaryota; Viridiplantae; Streptophyta; Magnoliopsida; Poales; Poaceae.
AUGGGGCGGCCGUACGCAGUCAAGGGGAAGAAGAAGCGGAAGCUGGAAGGCGGCGAAGCCUCGCGCGCCCCUCCGGCCGACGCCGAGGCGGUGGAGCAAGAGGUGAAGGAAAAUGAGGAGGUGAUGGAGGGGGAGGCGGCGGCAGAGGCUUUUGCCGAGGAGGUGGGGGAGGGGAUCCCCAUCGUGCCCCAGCCUGUCGACAGUAAGCGGCGGCCGGGCGCUAUCUUCGUACUUGAGAGGGCCUGCCUCGAGGUCGGCAAAGUCGGCAAGGGUAUGCAAAUCUUGAAUUCGGAUGAUCACGCAAAUUAUUUGAGGAAGCAGAAUCGCAAUCCAGCUGAUUAUAGGCCUGAUAUCAUUCACCAGGCACUGCUUGCAAUAUUUGAUAGCCCUCUAACUAAGGCUGGGAGGUUACAAGCUGUUUAUGUUAGGACUGAAAAGGGAGUGUUGUUUGAAAUCAAGCCUCAUGUUCGCAUGCCACGGACGUUCAAACGUUUCUGUGGCUUGAUGUCACAGUUAUUGCAAAAGCUGAGCAUCACUGCAGUUGGGAGGCGUGAGAAGCUCCUUAAUGUUAUUAAAAAUCCUGUUACCCAGUAUCUACCUGUUGGCAUACGGAAGAUUGGCCUUUCAUAUAGUGCGGAGAAGGCAGUUAAUUUGUUUGACUAUGUUGCUAAGUCCAAUGAUGAUGAACCUCUUGUGUUUGUGGUUGGUGCCAUGGCCCAUGGAAAGGUUGACAAGGAAUACUCAGAUGAUUACAUACAGAGUANCGGUUACCCUCUCAGUGCUGCCUGCUGCCUGAAUCGAAUAUGCAGUGCCUUGGAGCAGAAAUGGAACAUCCAGUGA